RNAcentral lists this long non-coding RNA (217 nucleotides) under Carica papaya (papaya). RNAcentral's name for it is "long non-coding RNA (CPAP_LNC001899)". Lineage: Eukaryota; Viridiplantae; Streptophyta; Magnoliopsida; Brassicales; Caricaceae. The record is from RNAcentral.
AUUAACUCACUCAUUUUAUGACACUUGCACUUACACUUUAUAAUAAUCACAUAUACUUAUCGAUAUCACUUUCACUUUGCACUUUUCACUUAUCACUUAUCACUUUUAAGUUACACUUUUAUUUUUAGUUGCAUUUUUUUUUGUUUAUAAUUUUCACUUUUACGUAUUUUAAAAUUUCAUUGUGUGAUGUCAUUUUUGUCGGAUCAUCAAGGGCACU